CUCUUUUUUUUUUUUUUUUUUCUCUCUUUCAAAUCUAGAUGGUCAGGAUCUUUCUUUAGAUUUUCAAUUGUUACACUCUUUAUUAGAAUUAUUUGCAGAAGGAUUUGAAUUCGAUGCAAAUUUUUAGAACGAACACUUCUUAUAAUACAUAUACUUGUAUUAUUUGUUGGUACAGACCCAUGUAGAACUGGGAGAAUCUGAGCGAUAUUGUGGUGAAUUAAGCCCAUUACAUUGGAAAGUCUUGUACAUUUUCAAAUUGCUUAAAAGUCUCUUUUUUUGCUGUCACUACUCAAAAGGUAUGGACCAGCAAUGACAAAAGCAAGUAGAGAGUACAGAUAGCUACUUGAAUCAUGAAUAUGAGCCUAGCUUCUGCUGGUUCGACUCGUAAAUGUUUUGGCUCCUAAAUGUAAUAUGAAUUCCUUCAUUCUGGCUAGGGAAUUAGUGAUUCCCAUCACGAUAAUCUGUCUCAUCGAAGAUCUCCUCCUAUAUGCGCAAGAUAAGUAGGGCAUGAAAUCUUUUGUUGUGAAAAACAAUCUUUGAAAAAGGAAAAGCAAAGGUGAAAAAAUUCGCAUACUUGUAAUAGCUCUUCAAUGACAUCUUCCAAUGUAAUUAUGCCAAUAGCCUCCCCCUCUUCGGCGAGACUUUGAAGGGAAUUGUCAUCGAAUUGCAGGAUUUCUGAGUGAACCCCAUUUGCCCAUUUCUUGCUUUUGGAUGUUACCCUGUGCAGACUUGUAUCGCUAGGAAGACUCUUCAGCUUCUUGAGUGAUCUGUUGCGCUUUAAACUUUUUUUCUGUGUGAGCUUCUCGCCAUCAAUGUCCACCCUUACAUCUCUGACUAAAUUGUGUUGUGUUUUAUGGAAUGUAUUAGUUCCAAAAGAAAAUUGUCUGGGAGACUAAAGGAGAACACACUUGUUGCUUACCAUGAGCAGUGCUUUCGCCAGCUGAUUUCUCUGUGUCACCAUGUUGUCUUACGACGACAGCCAUAUGGCUAUGACCCUUCUGAAACUCAUUUAGUAUGUCAUAAAGAGGCAUUGUCUCUGAAACCCUGCCACAUAAACCAUUAUCCUAAUUCAUCAGAAUUCAUCCACAUACUUAUGCAUGUUGCGACAGGAAAACAUUGCAAAAUCAGGCCAGAGGGUGGCCAGAGAUAUCACAAAUUAUUGUAAUAUGACUUCAAACAGCUGUCCACAAUUGCUGUUAGGCAAGAACUAGGAGUUCAUUUUUGCCUGAAAAACGCAGACAGAAAGGAAAGGAAUGCGUCCAGAUUAAUGUUCAUAUAAUGUUCGUAUGACAUGAUUAUUUUCUGUUUAAGUUCCACAAUGUCUGUCAAAAUCUGAUGGAUUAGAUAAAUCAAAGGAGUAAGAAUAAUGAAGCCAUGCAUGGGAUUUCUAUGCUGUGAUGGUAUUGAUUGAAGCUUAGAUAAUCAACAUAAAAUUUCUUCAAUGAUUCACUUUCUUCUAUGAAAAGGCUUAUUAGGAUAGGAGCUGCCAAAGCAUUUCUUCGUUUGGAUUUUCCGUGUGUAAUGUUUUCCUGGAUUCUGGGCAGCAAGAUUCAAUUUAAGCAUCUACCACUUAUUAAUCUCAAACAGUUUCUGUUUUUGCCAGUCAUACGCUCACUUUAAAAUCUCCAGUUAUUGGUAAAAGCGAUGAAGUGAUAAUGGAAAUGUGAGCUAAAUGUAGAACAACUUUAAUAUACCUUGGGAUUUUGCGAAUAGUCACAUUCUUCACAGGAACUUCAUCUUCUGGAUGAAUGGUUAACAAAUUCUUAACCUGCAAUUUGGUUAGAAUCAGUAAAGACUUCGUUUUACAUGCAUCCUGAUGCAGGAAAUGGAUUGCAAAGACGGCAGGAAAUCCUGAUAAACUGUGAUGUGAAGCAGGCCAAAGGACUUUGGUAAAUGAAAUGAAAUUAAAUAAAGAAAAAAAAAAGAGAACAACUAUUAUUAAUUACAUGAAAAUAUCCUGAAGUAACUUAACAAGUGAUUACCAAGACAAGUCCAAUUAGGUUUCUUGGAUGCUCAUGAUAAACUGGCACUCUGCUAUGCCCUUUCUCCAAAAUUAACAUCAUCAAAGCUCUGCAAAUUAGCUUUUAGCAAUCAUGGAAUGUGCCUUAUUUUCAAGAUAAUCAAUGCAUUUAAAUAAAUAAGUAAAUUUCAUUUUUCCCUUGAUGAAAACAAAACUUAAAUACCGGUCAAGUUUAGCAUUUAUAUCAAUGGAAAAGGUUUCAGAUAUGGGUGUCAUUGCAUCUUUUGCCGUUUUCUCAGUGAGUUCAAGUGCUCCUGCAAUGAUCGUCGUCUCAUCUCUCGUCAGUUCUCCUCCUUUGCCGGCCUCAUUACCAUGCAAAUCUACAAGUGUUUUCAACUCAGCUCUGCGGAAAAGAGCAUCAUGUCCCUCCCCCAACAAAAAGUCCAGUAGCUUGCUUAUUGGAUACGCAACAGGAAAACAAAUCCAAACAAGAACUUGAACAAUUGGAGCCACUGCUGCACCAAUUGCCAAGCCAUAUCGAGAACAAACAGCUUGGGGAAUAAUCUCACCAAAUAAAAGUAUCAAGGUCACAGAAAUAAGAAUGGCACCCCAAGCUGAUACCAAACCAUCCAAAAAAAUGGGUAGUGCCUCCAUAGCAGCAGCAUUACAGAUUAAUAAGGUGCAGAGCAGCAGGUGUUGCCUUUUCACAACUGGCAAUAUUUUUGUUGCGUGCUUACGAUCGGUAGGCGUUCCAGACUUGGCAAGAACCUCAAGAUCGACGAGACUCAUAGACAUGAGACCUAAGGUGAGUCCAGACAUCAACCCGGCAAACAAUACCAGGAAAAUAGCAAUAGCAAUGUGGACGAAGAACCCAGUUCCACAGCAACUAUACUCCACUGCCAUAGAUUUUUUUUUU
RNAcentral lists this unclassified non-coding RNA (2876 nucleotides) under Hevea brasiliensis (rubber tree). The record is from RNAcentral. Lineage: Eukaryota; Viridiplantae; Streptophyta; Magnoliopsida; Malpighiales; Euphorbiaceae.